This 309-nucleotide ribosomal RNA is filed under the name uncultured bacterium. Its description in RNAcentral is "bacterial SSU rRNA". It matches the Rfam family "Bacterial small subunit ribosomal RNA", at positions 355 to 681 of the family's 1533-position model. The record is from RNAcentral.
UAGGGAAUAUUAGUAAUGGGCGAAAGCCUGAACUAGCAACGCCGCGUGUGCGAAGAAGGCCUUCGGGUUGUAAAGCACUUUUUGAGAGGAUGAGGAAGGACGGUACUCUCAGAAUAAGUCUCGGCUAACUACGUGCCAGCAGCCGCGGUAACACGUAGGAGGCGAACGUUAUCCGGAUUUACUGGGCGUAAAGCGCGUGUAGGUGGUUUGGUAAGUAGGGCGUGAAAGCUCCUGGCUCAACUGGGAGAGGCCGUUCUAAACUGCCGAACGAGAGGAUGGUAGAGGGAGGUGGAAUGCCGGGUGUAGCGG